GAUCCUGGCUCAGGACGAACGCUGGCGGCGUGCCUAAUACAUGCAAGUUGAACGCUGAAGACUGGUACUUGUACCAGUUGGAUGAGUAGCGAACGGGUGAGUAACGCGUGGGUAACCUACCUCUUAGCGGGGGACAACUAUUGGAAACGAUAGCUAAUACCGCAUAACAAUACUUAACUACAUGUUAAGUAUUUGAAAGCACCAAUUGGUGCACUAAGAGAUGGACCCGCGUUGUAUUAGCUAGUUGGUAGUG
RNAcentral lists this ribosomal RNA (253 nucleotides) under uncultured bacterium. RNAcentral describes it as "partial 16S ribosomal RNA". It matches the Rfam family "Bacterial small subunit ribosomal RNA", at positions 15 to 257 of the family's 1533-position model. The record is from RNAcentral.